CGUGUAGGCGGCCAGGUAGGUCGGUUGUGAAAACUGGAGGCUCAACCUUCAGACGUCGACCGAAACCAUCUGGCUAGAGUCCGGAAGAGGAGAGUGGAAUUCCUGGUGUAGCGGUGGAAUGCGCAGAUAUCAGGAAGAACACCCGUGGCGAAGGCGGCUCUCUGGGACGGUACUGACGCUGAGACGCGAAAGCGUGGGGAGCGAACA
This 207-nucleotide ribosomal RNA is filed under the name uncultured bacterium. Its description in RNAcentral is "partial 16S ribosomal RNA". It matches the Rfam family "Bacterial small subunit ribosomal RNA", at positions 568 to 774 of the family's 1533-position model. The record is from RNAcentral.